ACAGUAACUCCGCCUGUAGCUCUUAUAGGGUUGCUGCCGGUCCCAAGCCCGGGUAAAGGAGGAGGGUUGG
This 70-nucleotide non-coding RNA is filed under the name Schistosoma haematobium. The record is from RNAcentral. Lineage: Eukaryota; Metazoa; Platyhelminthes; Trematoda; Strigeidida; Schistosomatidae.